This is a long non-coding RNA of Gallus gallus (chicken), 1337 nucleotides long. The record is from Ensembl. NCBI's taxonomy places the organism in Eukaryota, Metazoa, Chordata, Aves, Galliformes, Phasianidae.
CAGGGAGGGAGCUGCUCCCGGCUGCGGCUGCAGCUCCGUGUGUGGCUGCAGAUGAGAUAGCGCGGCCCCAACCGCCCCAUUUGGGGUGCAGCUGGUUUGGGGUGCGCCAGCUGCAGGGCCAACCCCCUGCACACAAAGCAGGGGCUGUUCACCCCAACUGUCACUAACCCCGGGGCAUGGGGAACCACACAGCACCCCAGGGAGCUGCGUUCUUCCUGGCAUUUUGUUUUCUUUGCAUUUUCAUCUCUCACCUCCAGUGGACACAGCACAGCCUGGCACCUCGUGCACAGGCCCACAGCUCGUGACUGGUCCACACCCUCUGCCUGUUCCAGAUCCCUGUGCUGGGAAUCUGCUCUGGGAGAGCAGGAGGCCUCCAGCUGGCUUGUCUGAGAUGCCUCAGCCAGGGGCAGCCUAACUGACUGUGAUAAAUUACGAGAUCCUAAAAAUGAAUGAAGAUGGGAAGCUCUUAUGCCAAGCUCUCCUUGCUGAUAGGAUGCGGGGCAGAUGCGCCUGGACCUGGCACCCAGAGAGGUGUGCAUUGGCUGAAGGAAUGCAAUCAGGAGAAGCGGAGAGGAAGCCACAUGCUGAACCAUCAGCCGUGAACGUCCCUGGUGUGAGUGCUUCAUCCCACUGGGAGGAGGAAUUGGGCAGGGCAGGGCUAAGCUGGGUGAUGGUGAGCAUCCCACCGGGAAUCACAGCCUUCGGAUCAGCCACGUGCAGAAGAGAAGAAGCUGGAAGUACCGAUUUCUCUGCCAUGAUGGAGGCUGGGUGACUGGGGGGAUCCGCCAGGAUGAACCAUCACGAUCUGUGCAGAAAAAAGUCAGUGCCCGUGACUGAGAAAAGGAAAGAUGUGUCCUCAGGGCUGCUCUGCAGGCACAAAGGGAGAGGCCCAGAGCCCAAGACCCUACCCAGGUAGCUGCAUCUGCUUUGUACGAUCGCUCUUCAUCCCAUUCCCCUGUGUUUCUGAGUCUAAAGACAUCUGCUCUGGCCUUUACGUCUGACCGUCCCGGUAGCCACAAGAAACAUUAGAGUACAAAUGGUGGUAACUGCUUCAUUUCCAGCUCUGCCUUCUACAUCAACCCCCUGGUCUGCCAAAAGAGCUACAGAGCAGGGGACCAGUGAUGCUUUCUAGAACAGAUUCAAUAGGAGCUUUUGAUGAUCAUGGGAACAUUGUAAUGAGACCAGAGAUAGCCUGGGCUUCCCUCCUUGUUUCUCUCUUCUUUUUUUUUUCUUCCUAAAAUAAAUGUCAGCCUCCUAUCUGGCAACCAGCAUGGCCCGAAGAAAACAGAGAGGGAAUAUGACUCACUCACAUUAUCCAGGCUCCUCAUGCAUGACAC